GACGAACGCUGGGGCGUGCUUAACACAUGCAAGUCGAACGGUGAAGCGCCUUCCUUUUUGGUGGGUGUGGAUGAGUGGCGAACGGGUGAGUAACACGUGAGUAACCUGCCCCCUUCUUCUGGAUAACCGCAUGAAAGUGUGGCUAAUACGGGAUAUUCUGGGUCUGUCGCAUGAUGGGUCUGGGAAAGAUAUUGUUUCGGUGGGGGAUGGGCUCGCGGCCUAUCAGCUUGUUGGUGGGGUGAUGGCCUACCAAGGCGGUGACGGGUAGCCGGCCUGAGAGGGUGGACGGUCACACUGGGACUGAGACACGGCCCAGACUCCUACGGGAGGCAGCAGUGGGGAAUAUUGCACAAUGGGCGCAAGCCUGAUGCAGCGACGCCGCGUGAGGGAUGGAGGCCUUCGGGUUGUGAACCUCUUUCGCUAGUGAAGCAGGCCUGCCUCGUUUGUGGGUGGGUUGACGGUAGCUGGAUAAGAAGCGCCGGCUAACUACGUG
RNAcentral lists this ribosomal RNA (493 nucleotides) under uncultured bacterium. RNAcentral's name for it is "partial 16S ribosomal RNA". It matches the Rfam family "Bacterial small subunit ribosomal RNA", at positions 28 to 507 of the family's 1533-position model. The record is from RNAcentral.